This 2931-nucleotide unclassified non-coding RNA is filed under the name Camponotus floridanus (Florida carpenter ant). RNAcentral describes it as "alpha-catulin, transcript variant X4". The record is from RNAcentral. Lineage: Eukaryota; Metazoa; Arthropoda; Insecta; Hymenoptera; Formicidae.
GGGCCGUAGGGUGGGGGGAGACGUCCGGUGGCCAGCAGCGACGCGGCGGGGGCGAGGGUGGCAGUCGUGCCGGGCACGCGGGCGGGGGUAGGAGGGGUGCAACAAACCCUCUCGCCUCGGCUCGAGUCUACGGAGCACGGAGUUGUGUUCGAAUCAUGGCGACACCCGACCCCGUAGACCCGGCCACCCUAGAGAUUAAGACCCGUAGCAUAGAACAGACACUACUCCCGCUAGUGAAGCAGAUUUCCACGUUAAUCUCUCACAGAGAACGGCCGCUAUGCUCGGAUCGGAGUUUGCGAGCGGUAGCCAGAGUCGGCCAGGCGGUAAAUUUGGCGGUCGAGAGAUUCGUGACCGUCGGCGAAACUAUCGCGGACGACAACCCGGAAAUCAAGCAGGAUAUGUACGAAGCUUGCAAGGAGGCGAGGGUUGCCGGCUCAGCGAUCGAAAAAUUAUGCGAAUGUGCCUUGGAAGACAGUCUGGCUGACCGAGGUUCCGUCGUGAGAGCUGCCAGAUGUCUCCUAGGCUCAGUGACGAAGGUCCUCCUCCUGGCGGACAUCGUCGUGGUCAAUCAAUUGCUCCACGCCAAGGAUAAAGUCGCCCGCAGCCUCGGACGUCUCGAAAGCGUCUCGAACUUCACCGAAUUCGUCAAGGCGUUCAGCCAAUUCGGAGGCGAGAUGGUCGAGUUGGCGCAUUUAACGGGCGAUCGUCAGAAUGAUCUCAAAGACGAGAGGCGACGCGCGCAGAUGGCAGCGGCUCGACAGGUGCUCGAAAGGAGCACCAUGAUGCUCCUCACGUCCAGCAAAACGUGCUUAAGGCAUCCCGAAUGCCCGUCCGCGAAGGAGAACCGAGACACCGUUUUUUGCCAAAUGAGAAGAGCGAUGGAUCUAAUACAUUAUGUCGUCAAGGACGGGGUAUUGGACUGUAGCGAAUCUCAAUCCUACUCAAAUUCACAGAGCCCGCAGCAAGAGGACUGGGACAGUAGUACCGUUUGCUCGGCAUUGAAACACUUCGAGAGGCUCGUUGAAACAACAAGGAUGACCCUGUUGGGACCGGGUUGCCGCGAAACACUUACGUCGGCGUUAGAAACAGUGGUGGAGAGAACGCAGGACUUCACCGACAGCGCCUACACGAGCCACGAGCACAGAGAAAACAUUCUCCUUCUUUGCGAUCGUGCGAAACUCGAGCUCAAUACACUUCUACGGAUUGGUAACAGCAUGAAUUACGAGGGCGGCGGGGGUUCACCGAGCUCCGAAAUGGAACAAGCGGUGAUGGGUGUGUUGCGGGCGACCAGAGAUCUUCGCCAGCAGCUCAGCGCGACGACGAUGGAACAGGCCGGCGAUCUUGGCCAAGUGACAAAAGCCGGUCAGGAGCUCGUGUCAACGAUCAGAAAUCUCGCGUUGGCCAAUGACAUCGACCGUCUACAGGAGAGCAGCGACAGGUUCCACGAGUAUAUCGAACACAUUCUCGAAGUAUGUAAGCUUCUGAGACACGUUGCGCUCUCGGAAUCGUUGCAAGUGUCGGCCAAGUUUACGGAAAUCAAUUUGAGAAUAUAUGGCCCUCAAGUCGUAACGGCCGCGCAUACGCUAGCCAGGCAUCCUACAAGUAAGAUAGCCAAGGAAAAUCUCGAAGUAUUCGCUGAUAUGUGGCAGUGGCUCAUGACUGACGUAACGACAGUGGCAAAAGACGUCCUGGAACUCAGUCAAAAUCGCCCAGAAAAGCAAGUUUACAUGUCCUUGCCGCGGCCAGGAAAACACGGCACGACGAGCAAACCACUGAAACCAGUGCGCUUGGAUAGCGAGGAGCAGGCGAAGAUAGCGAAGGCGGGUCUCGAGAUGAAACUGAUCACUUCGGAGAUGGACGCCGAGACGGAAAAAUGGCAGGAGAGCGGAAGCGCUCUGGAGGAGAACAACGACAUUGUGAAACGGGCAAAGAAUAUGUCAUCGAUGGCAUUCUCGAUGUAUCAGUUCACGCGAGGCGAAGGCGCGCUGAAGACCACCCAGGAUCUGUUCACCCAAGCUGAGUAUUUCGCCGAGGAGGCGAACAGAUUGUACAAGGUUGUGAGACAAUUCAGUUACCAGGUACCAGGUGGACCGCAUAAGAAAGAUCUCCUGGAAAAUCUGGAUCGAGUGCCGACUUACGUUCAGCAACUACAAUUCACCGUGAAGAACCCUACUGUCGGCAAGGCCGCCACAUUUACAAAAGUCGACAAUGUCAUACAAGAAACGAAAAAUCUCAUGAAUGUGAUCUCGAAGGUGGUCACUACGUGUUUCGUCUGCGCCACAAAGCACAAUCUCAUGAUGCCGCAAUACAUGGAGUUCAGCCCGACGAUGGCACCCGGCCAGGCCGAAGAGGAUUGUUUAUACCCAAUUAGCCCGCAGUUAUUACCUUCUACGAGCCCUUACGUGCAACCCCAUCCGCUCACGUCCGCGCAAUUUCACAGUAUCCUGAAACCAUCCCUCGGCCCGAGCUCGUUGUCCCUGUCGCUCUUCGGUCCGUCUAUAAAUCCCGGGCCGGGCCGGAAUUCCGGCUCCUUCGUCCAUCCAUCCGUCCUAUCUACGACGCCCGGAACGCAACAGCCGCCCUACUGCCUGCAGAAUCUGCAGCUCCUGCAGCUGCAGCUGCACCACGCACAGCUGCAGCACUUAAGACACGCGACGCUACCGAGAUAGUAGCGGUAAAUACGUCGUGCCGUAGCACGUGGCACGUGAACACUCGUUCGUGAAAACGUUUCACGCGCACGCACGAACGUACGCACACGUCGAGAACGCUAUACGUUCUUCGUACAGUACAACCUGGAUUUCCGAGGUCUGUCGGCGCGCGGGGCCGGCGGCUCGCCGUACAGGGGCGGAGAGGGCGGGGGAGCUGACGGCGACGGUGGCGGAGUUGGCGCCGACGGCAGCAAGACGGGCUCCGUCCCCGGCAGCGACCCGU